AGUGAACGCUGGCGGUAGGCCUAACACAUGCAAGUCGAACGGCAGCACAGGAGAGCUUGCUCUCUGGGUGGCGAGUGGCGGACGGGUGAGGAAUACAUCGGAAUCUACUCUGUCGUGGGGGAUAACGUAGGGAAACUUACGCUAAUACCGCAUACGACCUACGGGUGAAAGCAGGGGACCUUCGGGCCCUGCGCGAUUGAAUGAGCCGAUGUCGGAUUAGCUAGUUGGCGGGGUAAAGGCCCACCAAGGCGACGAUCCGUAGCUGGUCUGAGAGGAUGAUCAGCCACACUGGAACUGAGACACGGUCCAGACUCCUACGGGAGGCAGCAGUGGGGAAUAUUGGACAAUGGGCGCAAGCCUGAUCCAGCCAUACCGCGUGGGUGAAGAAGGCCUUCGGGUUGUAAAGCCCUUUUGUUGGGAAAGAAAUCCGGCUGGCUAAUACCCGGUUGGGAUGACGGUACCCAAAGAAUAAGCACCAGCUAACUUCGUGCCAGCCGCCGCCGUAA
RNAcentral lists this ribosomal RNA (506 nucleotides) under uncultured bacterium. RNAcentral describes it as "partial 16S ribosomal RNA". It matches the Rfam family "Bacterial small subunit ribosomal RNA", at positions 29 to 523 of the family's 1533-position model. The record is from RNAcentral.